Orcinus orca (killer whale) is the source of this 5304-nucleotide long non-coding RNA. RefSeq lists it as uncharacterized. Lineage: Eukaryota; Metazoa; Chordata; Mammalia; Artiodactyla; Delphinidae. The record is from RefSeq and is a predicted model, not a curated record. The transcript has 3 exons.
GCUCCUGCAGGGAGUCCAAGGGCGAGAGGAGACAGUUAGGGGGGAACGUCACUUGGCAGUCUGCGUUCAGAAGUACGUGUCCAUAGGGGCCGAUAAUGAUCACUCGUCUUCCCCGUUCAUAAGGAACCAGGCCUGCGGCAGUGCUGAGCGCACAGCAGGCUCGCGCAGACUGGAGAACAUUCACACCCAGGGGACCUAAGCCUUGUACGUGUGUGGAGGGAAACGGAGCUAACACUUAAUGCAGUGGUCCUCGGGCUCGGCUGCAUGUGGGACUCACCCGGGAACCCCCAAAACACCCACCGUGGAGAUGCAGGUUUAAUUGGUCUGGGCUGUGCUUGAGUGUCCGGAGCUUUCAGAUCCCCCCACAUGACUCUCCCAUGCGGCCAAGGCCCAGAACCCCUCCGGCUGGAGGCCUCAGGAUUCUUUGUUUUCUCAGAACACUUGCUUGCUUUGUCCUCCCUGAGAUCCCAGGUGUAACCAGCGUCCACCAGAUUUUUAUUCUGUCCUGGAAGCACAUGCGAAAUGGCAGGUUUCCCUGUAGGGAAACUGAGGUGAUAUUUUGAAUGGAGUCUUAGUGCUGUUUAUUUGAAAUAACAUGUAUUGUUGUGUGAUUAUCAAAAAAAGUAUUGAAAGUAUAUAGAAAAGUGUAUAGAAAAGACUUUGUAAAAAACAGACUUGCAGCUGUGCGUCACGACGCAGGUUGGGCACAGUCGUCCCUUGGUAUCUGCAGGGAAUUGGGUCCAAGAGCCCCCCCUGGAUACCAAAGUCCGAGGAUGAGCAAGUCCCUGAUACAAACUGGUGCAGUACAGUUGGCCCUUCGUAUCGGUGGGUUCCUCAUCAGUGGAUCGGAGGGCCAGCCGACUGUAUUUGUUGGGAAAAACCUGAGUAUAAGUGGACCUGUGCAGCUCCAAUCUGUGUUGUUCAAGGGUCAGCUGUGGUCUUUGCAUAUCAAGAAGCAAUCACAUGGAUAUGCUGAUGCCCAUGAUCGUUACUAGGCAUCAUUAUUAGGGAAAACGGCCCCUCCCCACUGAUCCUAAACUAGCUCUUUGAGGGCUAAAGAUCACACUUUAUCUCACUGAAUCUAGGAAUGGGCUGGAAUUUGCCCAGGAGGUGCCCAGACGCUGGUUAAUCAGCCAUGCGGCCUGAGGAGAUGGGGUCCUACCUUCCUCUCCCUGCCCUGCGGGCCGCACGCAGCCCGACAUGGGCAUGGCUGACCUCGGGGCCCUGUGCAGGAACAGCUGCAGAGAGGCCUGGAUUACCACCUGUGCUCUUCCUUUGUUUUGAGCUUCUACUCCUAGUAACUUCUGAGUGUUCAUUGGUGCUGAUUCCUAAAGGGAUGAAACCUGUAGGCCUUUAACCACAGCCUUCGGUUUUUGGAAUAGCAUUCCUGUGAGGGACACGGGUCUGUGCCUCUGAGUUAGUAGGUGUGGGUUUGUUCAAGCUGGGUUUUCAAGUUUGGCCUCCCCAGAGCACACGCCGUUUUGGGGGUAGAAAUACCUAUCUGGAAACAGCAUCAGGACUUUCCAUAAAUGUCAGAAGAUGAUUUCCUCCCCUGCCGCUGAUCUCCCCAUGCCCUGUGCUACGGUUAUGGCUGGGGACGGGUGGCAGGAAGAGACUCAAAGGAAAGCAGGUUUCAAGAGCGUCUUCAGGACAACCUCGUGAACCAGUUUAUGACUGAGAAUAAGCCAUCAUCGCCAUUUUUCUGUUUGAUUCGCUGAUUUCUCUAGGAACAAGUGGAUGAAGGCAUUCUGGAUUUCGUGAAGGUUUCUCAUCUGGCUUUUAAAAAACCCAUCAACGCUGGAAAACCCAAGGCCUCUGUGAGCAUACCAUGGCCUUUAAAGAGAGUCCUGUGCCUGGAACCCCUGAAAUAUAUACUGGGGUUAAUACACUUAAAGGUGGCUUCAGAAGCAAAGUAACAUCGAGGCCCUAAUUCCGGAACUGGCCCUGCCCGUCUGUCACUGUCUUCCGGUGGGGUGGCAGCCAUGGGAUCCGAAGGCGACUUCUGAUUUCAGGCUCCCUCCUUGUGGUUGGUCUGUCCGACUUGAUUCAGGACUUGGGCAAGGACACAUUGUCCUUCUGGUUAAAAAGCGUAUUACAGCCUGACACUGACACCCCUCAUGACCUACUUCCUGGAGAAUACAGCCGCUGGAAAAGACCCCAACUAAAGGACUCCUGCUUCCCUCCUUGGAAAGGAUCUUUUCUGGUACUGCUCGCCAGUUCCUGCACAGCUAAAUUUGAAGGCAUCCGGCCCACCUGAAAGGAGUAACAGGACCAGAAUGAACCAGCAAAGCCACAGGUGAUCUCACACUUAAGAUCUCCCGGCACCAGAAGCAGACGACCUCGGACAUAGAUGGACAGCUAUCCCAAGACAACGGGCCAGGCCUGUGUAACUUAACUUGAUUUCCGCCACUGUUCUCUUUACUGUGGAAAUCAUGAUAAGGGAAGUUAACCAGACUCCUCCACUUAUCUGUUUUCUCUCCGGGUUGCCCGUGUCUUCCAGACAAUUGCCAAGGGAGGUAACCUUUCAGACGCUGUAUUUGUCAUUUAAAACUCCGAUCUGUCUGUAAGGUUGGAGACUCCCCGGUCCUUCCUGUAACCUGAUUUUUCUUCUGUCAUCCUUGGUGCCACCUUAAGCAACAGCUGAAGUCCCUUCGAUGUCAGCUACAGUGUUAAACUUUUGCAGCCCGGUUUCCCAGUGCCUUAUUUUUACCUUUCUCCGAUCAUAACUCUCCUUGCCCCGUCUGACAAAUGCCUUGUAAACCGUAGUACAUUUGUGCCCCCAUGUUCUAAAUCAGAUGUCAGAGGAUUUGUCUCUUACCUUCUGAGAGAUGUUACACUGCUUAGGUUCAUUGUUCAGUUACAUGGGAAGCGUUGCCAACUAAGUGAUGAUAAAUCUUCUUGGGUUAUUUGUAUGUUAAUAACACUUAAUUAUUAAUAUAAUUAAGUGUUCUAGAAAUUGUGUGAAAUUCCUAAAAAUCUGAUAUGUCUUGGUAUAAUGUUAUCAGUCAUAAUUCUGGUUAUCUUAAAAUAUUGUCUGUCAAUCACAGAAAUAACCAAAUUUCCUUGUCAAUUCCAUUAUAAUGAACUCUCAUCAGAUCUUUAGCACUGGGCAUUUUUAAGUUCUUUUGUCACUGACAGUUAUUGUUUUACUGUGACGCUUUUGCAAAAGUGAGAUUCAUGGCAAGGAACCUACCAAGAACUCUUGACCACCACAUGGCUGCCACAUCACAAGGGGCCAAACCUUGGGUACGUAUUUCACACCUGAUGAAGGCUCCACCUGCCUUCCGGUCCCGUGCAAAAAAGCUGCAGCCCUCAAACCAAUCAAACCGACUAGGCACCAUCGAGACAGACGGACUGCUUCCUCCCAACAUGUCAGAGCAAGAGCGUGUCUGCCUUUCCAUUCUGCCUUCCCUCUCUGACCAUCCUUUUCCUAAUUCUCACGCUGUGAAGGCUUUUAUGAUUCUUGCUGUCCAUCUUUUUUGCUUUGCUCUGGCUUGGAAAGAUAAGCCACUGUUCACAUAUCUAAGGCCGUUGCAAAGCGGGCUAAAUCUAACCUCAAAGACUCUGAAUUAUCAAGAUGCCAGUGAUUACACUGUUCGGUCCAUCACAGACUGCUCCCUGAUUUCCAAUGCCUCCGUUUCUCUGGACCAAACAGCCAGCCCACCUUUCUGUUGUGUCCCACUCCCUAACCCUGGGGAUCUACUUCCUUGUCUCUGGUUAACACCCCGGGGAACCCUGCAACCAGGCUCUGUACAAAGAAAGGGACGCGAGGCAAGGGAAAGAGAAUAAAACCACCUGUGCUGUCUACAGACCCUUCAGGUGUACUGGCCUCCACGGCUGUCACCUUUUGGGGCCCGAGCCACAGAUGGAAACGGGAAUUACCGGGAAGCAUUCAGUGGUUCAAAAUCUGCUUCCUUUGGUGCAGCCCUACUCCGCCGGCCAGGAGCUGAUACAAAUGAGGCCACGACCAGGAAUCUCUCCUUACCUCUUGAAGGUUCCAGAAUCUGCUGGUAAAGCAACAGCUGCCCAAUGAAAAUCCCUAGACUCUCUGGCCAGAGUUGUUCUUGAAAACAAGAGAAGCCUCUGGUUGAUUAUCCUUCAGCUGAACAAGGAGAUGCCUGUGCUGUGCCCAGCACCGCCUGCUGCACCUGGAUCAACACUGCUGGGGAAGGUGAGACUCAGCCACGUGAGACUACUGAACAAACCAGUCACUUUCUCAGGCCAACAAACCAGCCCACAGGAUCUUUCUUUGGGGAUUAUUCUGCCUAUAAUACUACAGCAGUCGCCGUAGUGUGCUGUAUUCUCGCAAAAGCUUUAAAUGCAACUUUGCAGCCGCUAGCUACCAAGCAAAUGAUCUCCCUCAGAACAGAACAUCCGAAAAGGAACGAAGAGAAUGACCGACUGAAAGACCAUGAACCCAGUGCCGUGACCUGUGAAGACCACACAGAUUCAGCAAAAAAAACCCGGUAAGAACUCCAAAGCCAUAGCUGGGAGUAGCGCUAAUGCCUUAAACUUGGAUCACUUCUCUUAAUUAGGCUCAGAGUCUGAUGAAAGGGGGUAAUUGUUAAAAACAAGACAGCAGACCCAAAAUGAAGUCGCUUAGGCUAGGUUCCAUAUCACCAAACCGAGACUUAACUUUAUAGUUUCAGCUCCCCCAGAAAGGAAUCUUUAACCAGUCAAAUCGGGACUCGCCGGAUCAGCACGUCUGCCCAACAGACCCCUGCCGUCCCCUAACGGAGAGCGACUGGGCUACAACCAACCCGCUUUUUCAGCUGGUGUAACUUCCUCGUUCCCGCUCCUUUCUGCCUGCAUGUCUUCCGUUUUGUACAGCUCCUUUCUAUCUGCCUGAUUCAUGAAUCACUGAAAUAAAGCCAGUAGGCUCUUUCAAAUAUACUCAGUCGAAUUCUUUUAACACCAUCUUCCUCUCAAAGGCUCAGCCCCUGUUUUCCGAAUCCCCCAUCUGCCAGCUCAGGGCACUUGCAGUAAAAAUUGUUCCACGUCUCCCCCCUUUGGGUCAGGAUCUUGUCCUACCCUACUUUUCAGGCUGAAGUCUCCCUCUUUCUCUACAGCAAAAUGACACUCUGCUGUUCCCCAGACACCCCUGCUUGUUUCUGCAUCUGUGCUGCUUUCGCCCUUGAACUGGCCUCCACCCUUCGAGACCCCCUCCUCGCACCCCAGGCCUUGGAAGGGAUCCCUCUCCCUUUGGAAACCUUUUAGCAUUUUGUUUAAAGUCUCAGGGUAUUUAAUACAUAAGUGCUGCAAGAAUCAUUUUUUGAUUGAAUAAACUUACCACUUUUUUUUUUA